RNAcentral lists this transfer RNA (69 nucleotides) under Ictidomys tridecemlineatus (thirteen-lined ground squirrel). Its description in RNAcentral is "Spermophilus tridecemlineatus (thirteen-lined ground squirrel) tRNA". It matches the Rfam family "tRNA". Rfam says of the family: Transfer RNA (tRNA) molecules are approximately 80 nucleotides in length. Their secondary structure includes four short double-helical elements and three loops (D, anti-codon, and T loops). The record is from Rfam by way of RNAcentral. Lineage: Eukaryota; Metazoa; Chordata; Mammalia; Rodentia; Sciuridae.
GGGGAUGUGGCUCAAGCGGUAUAGCACUCGCCUGGCAUGCGUGCGGCCCGGGUUCAAUCCCCAGCACCA